GAUGAACGCUGGCGGCGUGCCUAAUACAUGCAAGUCGAGCGAACAGAUAAGGAGCUUGCUCCUUUGACGUUAGCGGCGGACGGGUGAGUAACACGUGGGUAACCUACCUAUCAGACUGGGAUAACUUCGGGAAACCGGAGCUAAUACCGGAUAACAUUUGGAACAGCAUGGUUCUAAAGGGAAAGAUGUUUUUGCUAUCACUUAUAGAUGGACCCGCGCCGUAUUAGCUAGGUGGUAAGGUAACGGCUUACCAAGGCGACGAUACGUAGCCGACCUGAGAGGGUGAUCGGCCACACUGGAACGGAGACACGGUCCAGACUCCUACGGGAGGCAGCAGUAGGGAAUCUUCCGCAAUGGGCGAAAGCCUGACGGAGCAACGCCGCGUGAGUGAUGAAGGGUUUCGGCUCGUAAAACUCUGUUAUUAGGGAAGAACAAAUGUGUAAGUAACUGUGCACGUCUUGACGGUACCUAAUCAGAAAGCCACGGCUAACUACAUGCCAGCCGCCGCAGUAA
RNAcentral lists this ribosomal RNA (513 nucleotides) under uncultured bacterium. Its description in RNAcentral is "partial 16S ribosomal RNA". It matches the Rfam family "Bacterial small subunit ribosomal RNA", at positions 28 to 523 of the family's 1533-position model. The record is from RNAcentral.